RNAcentral lists this small RNA (61 nucleotides) under Salix viminalis (osier). Lineage: Eukaryota; Viridiplantae; Streptophyta; Magnoliopsida; Malpighiales; Salicaceae. The record is from RNAcentral.
UCGUAGGUGAGGUAGCGCAACAGUGUAAGAAAAAUUAAUAUACAGAACGUCGUUUUAUACG